UCCACACCACAGCAGCCUAGUCCUGAAUCCACACCACAGCAGCCUAGCCCUGAAUCCACACCACAGCAUUCCAGCCUUGAAACCACCUCCCGGCAGCCAGCAUUCCAAGCCCUUCCAGCACCCGAAAUCCGCCGCUCCUCUUGCUGCCUUUUAUCUCCAGAUGCUAACGUGAAGGCAGCCCCUCAAUCCAGGAAAGCAGGGCCUCUGAUUCGCGCCGGCCCGCAUUCCUGCUCCUGUGCCACUUGCCCCUGCAGCUCCGCUUGCUGGCGUCGUCUGGGGCUAUGCCAUAGCCGCAUCUUCGAUGUCCUUCUGCCUCGGGACUGGCAGAUGGCGCCAGGGAGAGGACUCCCCAACCUGCUCACCUUCUACAGAAAAUCUUCAAGAAAACCCUCCAGUCAUCGUAACGCGUGUCCUCCAAGCCCUCGGAACUGUGGCUGUGGCUCUGGGGGCUCUAGGAGCUGCCUACUACAUCACUGAAUCCUUGUGAACAAGCCCCUAGGCCCACAGUCUGGCAGAUCCAGUUUCCAUCAAAGGGACCUCUCUUGUCACCAAAAUUUAAA
Molecule: long non-coding RNA, 560 nt
Filed under: Homo sapiens (human)
Lineage: Eukaryota; Metazoa; Chordata; Mammalia; Primates; Hominidae
Description: HSALNT0048576
Source: RNAcentral